UACAGAGGGUGCGAGCGUUAAUCGGAAUUACUGGGCGUAAAGAGCGCGUAGGCGGCUCGGUAAGCCGGAUGUGAAACCUCCAAGCUCAACUUGGAGCGGCCAUUCGGAACUGCCGUGGCUAGAGUCUGGUAGGGGAACACGGAAUUCCUGGUGUAGCGGUGAAAUGCUUAGAUAUCAGGAGGAACACCAGUGGCGAAGGCGGUGUUCUGGGCCAGUACUGACGCUGAGGCGCGAAAGCGUGGGGAGCGAACAGG
RNAcentral lists this ribosomal RNA (254 nucleotides) under uncultured bacterium. RNAcentral's name for it is "partial 16S ribosomal RNA". It matches the Rfam family "Bacterial small subunit ribosomal RNA", at positions 524 to 776 of the family's 1533-position model. The record is from RNAcentral.